Molecule: small RNA, 140 nt
Filed under: Sphenodon punctatus (tuatara)
Lineage: Eukaryota; Metazoa; Chordata; Lepidosauria; Sphenodontia; Sphenodontidae
Description: TUC338 (ENSSPUG00000002081.1)
Source: RNAcentral
UUGAGAGCCCUGGAGACUUAAGUCCUCGUUUUACCCACAGAGAAAGACCAGUAUGGGAAACGGAAGUACAUGCUUUACCCAUCCUACUUCUAGGCAUAAGGGGGAAUUACAUCUCCAUGGCUAUGAUGCCUUUUACUGCA